Molecule: ribosomal RNA, 253 nt
Filed under: uncultured bacterium
Lineage: Bacteria
Description: partial 16S ribosomal RNA
Rfam family: Bacterial small subunit ribosomal RNA
Source: RNAcentral
UACGGGGGGUGCGAGCGUUGUCCGGAAUCACUGGGCGUAAAGGGCGCGUAGGUGGUUUUGUAAGUCUAUGGUGAAAGCCCGGGGCUCAACCCCGGGUCUGCCGUGGAUACUGCGAGACUUGAGUACUGUAGAGGCAGGUAGAAUAUCGGGUGUAGCGGUGGAAUGCGUAGAGAUCCGAUAGAAGACCGGUGGCGAAGGCGGCCUGCUGGACCUUUUCUGACGCUGAGGCGCGAAAGCUAGGGGAGCAAACGGG